This 467-nucleotide ribosomal RNA is filed under the name uncultured bacterium. RNAcentral describes it as "partial 16S ribosomal RNA". It matches the Rfam family "Bacterial small subunit ribosomal RNA", at positions 28 to 507 of the family's 1533-position model. The record is from RNAcentral.
GACGAACGCUGGCGGCGUGCUUAACACAUGCAAGUCGAACGGAAAGGCCUCUUUCGGGGGGUACUCGAGUGGCGAACGGGUGAGUAACACGUGAGUAACCUGCCCUUGACUUUGGGAUAACUUCAGGAAACUGGGGCUAAUACCGGAUAGGAGCUCCUGCUGCAUGGUGGGGGUUGGAAAGUUUCGGCGGUUGGGGAUGGACUCGCGGCUUAUCAGCUUGUUGGUGGGGUAGUGGCUUACCAAGGCUUUGACGGGUAGCCGGCCGGAGAGGGUGACCGGCCGCAUGGGGAUGAAGGUACGGCCAGGCCUCCUGCGGGGGGGGGGAGGGGGGAAUAUUGACAAAUGGGUGGGGGCCUGAUGCGGCACCGCCUGGGGGGGAAGGGCGGCCUUCGGGUUGUAACCCGCUUGCCCUCAUGAGGAGGUUUUGUGUGAGGUUAGUGGAAAAAAAAGCCCCGGCUAACUCCGUG